RNAcentral lists this ribosomal RNA (489 nucleotides) under uncultured bacterium. Its description in RNAcentral is "partial 16S ribosomal RNA". It matches the Rfam family "Bacterial small subunit ribosomal RNA", at positions 30 to 507 of the family's 1533-position model. The record is from RNAcentral.
UUGAACGCUGGCGGCAGGCCUAACACAUGCAAGUCGAACGGUAACAGGAAGAAGCUUGCUUCUUUGCUGACGAGUGGCGGACGGGUGAGUAAUGUCUGGGAAACUGCCUGAUGGAGGGGGAUAACUACUGGAAACGGUAGCUAAUACCGCAUAACGUCGCAAGACCAAAGAGGGGGACCUUCGGGCCUCUUGCCAUCGGAUGUGCCCAGAUGGGAUUAGCUAGUAGGUGGGGUAACGGCUCACCUAGGCGACGAUCCCUAGCUGGUCUGAGAGGAUGACCAGCCACACUGGAACUGAGACACGGUCCAGACUCCUAAGGGAGGCAGCAGUGGGGAAUAUUGCACAAUGGGCGCAAGCCUGAUGCAGCCAUGCCGCGUGUAUGAAGAAGGCCUUCGGGUUGUAAAGUACUUUCAGCGGGGAGGAAGGGAGUAAAGUUAAUACCUUUGCUCAUUGACGUUACCCGCAGAAGAAGCACCGGCUAACUCCGUG